This 395-nucleotide long non-coding RNA is filed under the name Homo sapiens (human). RNAcentral's name for it is "HSALNT0371190". Lineage: Eukaryota; Metazoa; Chordata; Mammalia; Primates; Hominidae. The record is from RNAcentral.
UUGGGGGCUGCACUAUGAGGGUGUGAUGUCCGGAUAUGUGGCAGCCAUAUUGUUACCAUGAGGUACAACCCUGCACAUUAAAGUCAAUCAGCUGACGGUGAGAGAUGAGCCUGGAGCCCUGAUGACAUAGGAUCAUGAUACACAGGGAAUUGGAGGGAAGAACAUAACGAAAAAGAAUAAUCGUGAAUGAAAAUUGCUGAAGACGAGUGGCCCUUGUCGUGCGUGGGGCUAGUUAUUGAACUUAACUGGAACCUGUAAUGCUUAUUCUGUAUUGAGCAUUUAAAGAAGUAUCUGGGAUUGAGCCAUCUCACGUCCAUCCAACCACACUCACACAAAUGGGAUGGGUCCACAGCCUUCGGACAUGAUUGCCUAACUCUGGCAAUAGAGAGAUGAAG